GAUGAACGCUGGCGGCAUGCCUAAUACAUGCAAGUCGAACGGAGAAGCCUAACAGAAGAUGCUUGCAUCGGAAGAUAGAUACUUCUCGGUGGCGAACGGGUGAGUAACACGUAGGUAACCUGCCCAUGUGCCCGGGAUAAUUUCUGGAAACGGAAACUAAAACCGGAUAGGUAAUAGAGAAGCAUUUCUGUAUUAUUAAAGAAGCCUCAAAGCUUUGAACAUGGGUGGACCUGCGGUGCAUUAGCUAGUUGGUAAGGUAACGGCCUACCAAGGCGACGAUGCAUAGCCGACCUGAGAGGGCGAACGGCCACAUUGGGACUGAGACACGGCCCAAACUCCUACGGGAGGCAGCAGUAGGGAAUUUUCGUCAAUGGGGGGAACCCUGAACGAGCAAUGCCGCGUGAGUGAAGACGGUCUUCGGAUUGUAAAGCUCUGUUGUGAGAGAAAAAGGAUAUAUAUAGGAAAUGAUAUGUAUUUGAUGGUAUCUCACCAGAAAGUCACGGCUAACUACGUGCCAGCAGCCGCGGUAAUACGUAGGUGGCGAGCGUUAUCCGGAAUGAUUGGGCGUAAAGGGUACGUAGGCGGCAUGAUAAGUCUGGAGUGAAAGGCUACAGCUCAACUGUAGUAUGCUCUGGAAACUGUCAAGCUAGAGUGCAGAAGAGGGCAAUGGAACUCCAUGUGUAGCGGUAAAAUGCGUAGAUAUAUGGAAGAACACCGGUGGCGAAGGUGGUUGCCUGGUCUGAAACUGACGCUGAAGUACGAAAGCGUGGGGAGCAAAUAGGAUUAGAUACCCUAGUAGUCCACGCCGUAAACGAUGAGAACCUAGGUGUUGGGGGAAUAACUCAGUGCCGCAGUUAACGCAAUAAGUUCUCCGCCUGGGGAGUAUGCACGCAAGUGUGAAACUCAAAGGAAUUGACGGGGGCCCGCACAAGCGGUGGAGUAUGUGGUUUAAUUCGAAGCAACGCGAAGAACCUUACCAGGCCUUGACAUCCCUUGCAGAGAUAUAGAGAUAUAUCCGAGGUUAUCAAGGAGACAGGUGGUGCAUGGUUGUCGUCAGCUCGUGUCGUGAGAUGCUGGGUUAAGUCCCGCAACGAGCGCAACCCUUGUGAUAUGUUACCAAUAUUAAGUUAGGGACUCAUAUCAGACCGCCGGUGAUAAACCGGAGGAAGGUGGGGAUGACGUCAAAUCAUCAUGCCCCUUAUGGCCUGGGCUACACACGUACUACAAUGGCGGAUACAAAGGGCAGCGACAGUGUGAACUGAAGCGAAUCCCAUAAAGUCCGUCCCAGUUCGGAUUGGAGUCUGCAACCCGACUCCAUGAAGUUGGAAUCGCUAGUAAUCGCGAAUCAGCAUGUCGCGGUGAAUACGUUCUCGGGCCU
Molecule: ribosomal RNA, 1378 nt
Filed under: uncultured bacterium
Lineage: Bacteria
Description: bacterial SSU rRNA
Rfam family: Bacterial small subunit ribosomal RNA
Source: RNAcentral